This 25-nucleotide non-coding RNA is filed under the name Mus musculus (house mouse). The record is from RNAcentral. Lineage: Eukaryota; Metazoa; Chordata; Mammalia; Rodentia; Muridae.
UGAGAUACAACUGUCAGGCAUUUUC